GGGUGGGGAGAGCUAAGAACUCUACAUUAUGUUCUGUCUCGUUUCUUUUUUUAUAGCUCAUCAUAACCUAUGCCUAUUUUUCCCUUUGAAUCUUUCAUAGAUUCCAGUCAUAGGCCAGAUUCAAGACUCAACCCCAAUUAUUGGGUAUAAGAGACACAAUAGGUAUUCAAUAAACAUCGGUUGAAUUGAAUUAAAUGGGAUUGAAAUUGGCCCCACUAAGACAUAGAUCUCUUAGGGGUUGUUUGGCUGCAAAAACCAGAAAUCUAGAUGACUAGCUAAAGCUAAACAAGAAAAUUUACUGUAAGGAUACAUGGAUUUCUUUAUGAGAAAAUGCAAAAGGAAGUGGAAACUUACCAGGAAUGAAAGAGAAUGCUGUUUAUAAUUUUUAGGGAGCAUUGAGGUCAAGGAUCUGCCUCACUAUCCUUCCACCUUUGGCUCUGCUUGCAGUGGCUCUGGUUCUAUCCAUGCUUUUACUAAGCCUGCAAAUUCUGUAAAGCAGGAAACUACAAAAACGUUACAAAAGGCUCUGUCAAAAGAUUCUUCAAGUGAUUAAGGAUAGCACACUCUGCAUAGGAAAUGAAGCCCUCGGAGAGAUUUGAAGAAGCCCUUGGAGAGAUUUGAGAUAUCCCUAACGGAGAAAGAAUUGACCUUCAUUAUCUCAGGAAGGCUUUUGACAUAAAAGAGAAAGAGAAGAAACUGAUUACUUAAAGAGGAGAGAGAGCUGUAAAGAGAACUACGAGGAUGAGCAUCAGGCUUAAAGUGGCUUAAUUUAUAAACGGAUAAUUUAAAAAUAGAAUUGGAACAUUAAGCCUUAAUAUGACCUAUACUCCUCGCAAUCCAGAAGUGAAGGGAGAAAUGUGGACAUGAGAGGGGCACAGAGGAAGACUACCUGAAGACACACAGAGAGAAGGUGACCACGUGGUUGGAGUGGAGCAUCUACAAACCAACACACAUACCAAGGAUUGCUGGCAAGUAUCACCAGAAGCUAGAAGAGGCAAGAAAGGAUUCUCCCCAAAGCUGUCAGCAAAAACACAGCACUGAUGGUAUAAAGGAGUACAGACGAGGUCAAAAUUCUAAAAUUGGAAUCUUGCCAUUAACAAACAGAACUGACAUUCUGAUACUUCUAUCUGCUGUGGACGUGACACAGAGACUUACCAAAGCCAAGAUACAUUUAUUCAAGGAGGAGCAACUUGCCUUUAUACUUAUACCUUUGUUAAUAACUUGUUUAAAGCAAUCCUUUGUUUUCUUUGCAUAUUUGAAUUGAUUUGCUAAAAGUUAUCUACUGUUAAAUAAGCAAAACUCAAAAUUUUCAAGCAUAUGGGACUUGUUCAGAAUCAGUUUUUAGUUUCUUUUUCAGGAUUUUGUACAAGUUGCAAGAGAAGAGACACAAAAUUAUCUUAUUAAUUCUAUUGCAAUAUGGAGAUACAUUUUAAACAAAUGGAAAUAAUCAAUAUUAGUAUUAUCUGUAUAUUUGUGUGUGUGUGUGUUGAUCUGACUAUAUUUUUCUUCAAAGGGAAAUCACAAAGGCCAAGUGUGUUUAUCAGGUAACUCACCUUAAGAAAACUUGUACUAUGUGAAAAGUCAAUUUCUUUAAAAACUGUCACCAACUCAACCCUGGUUUGUAAGUAGAAAAAACUAUCAAUUAUUUUUUAACAAUAGUAAUACUCCCAAGGUAUAUACUUCUGCCACAAAAAAUUAAGAAUAGUUUACUUAGCACGUUUUGUCAUUGUGGAAAUCAUUGAGAAAAAUCACAGUGGAAAGUUAUUUGAAAAGGCAUAACUGUCAUUAGAAAGAAAUUAAGAAUAAAGAAGGCAGGCCUGGCGUGGUGGCUCAUGCCUGUAAUCCCAGCACUUUGGGAGGCUGAGGUGGGUGGAUCUCCUGAGGUCGGGAGUUCAAGACCAGCCUGACUAACAUGGAGAAACCCCAUCUCUACUAAAAAUACAAAAUUAGCCGGGGUGGUGGCACAUGCCUGUAAUCCCAGCUACUCGGGAGGCUGAGGCAGGAGAAUUGCUUGAACCCAGGAGAUGGAGGUUGCGGUGAGCUGAGAUGGUGCCAUUGCACUCCAGCCUGGGCAAAAAGAGUGAAACUCCACCUAAAAAAAAAAUAAAAAUAAUAAAAAAAUAAAGCAGUAAAAACAAAAUGUUUGCAUGUGUCAUUAUCUUUGUAUUGGUCGUCUAUUUUGUAAACUUUCAUCAUUACUUUAAGCAUUUCAGGCCACUUCUUCAGUCAUUAUUGUUGAUUAUCAUUUAGUCCUCCAAUUCCAUCAGAGUGUGCUAAGGUAGUAAAAUGAAAUUAGGCACAAUGCAUGGCAGAAGGUAUAGCAAUUUGAAAUGUCUUCCAAAAUCAAUUAGAUAUUACUUUGGGUUAGCAGUGGAGGUGGGAACAUAGUUACAGGUAAUUGAGAAUUGGCUGUGAAUAUGGGCUCAUACAUUGUGUUUUUGAACAUGUUGAUAUAAUUCUGUGAAAUGAGAGAAAUGGCCUCAAAUCACCUGGCUGCUUCUGCUUUAUUUUAUGGUUAGAUAUUCAACUGCCAUCACAGACUACAAUAGAGGAAAGCUGCUAUUAUUUAUCAAAGACUAGACCUGCUAGCUGAAGUGCAGUUCACCAUUCACUUGGGUGGUGGUAUGGCUCACCUCCAAAACACUGCUCAUGAGUUGACCUUAUUAUUUUUAUCUGCAUGUCUUGACCUAUAGCGGGCUUAAAAUGUCAUUAUCAACCUAAUGGAAAUACAGAUUUUUCAUUUUUUUCCCUUUCUCUGCCUUCUCUUUUUUCUUUUCUUUUCUUUUUU
RNAcentral lists this long non-coding RNA (2788 nucleotides) under Homo sapiens (human). RNAcentral describes it as "HSALNT0110856". The record is from RNAcentral. Lineage: Eukaryota; Metazoa; Chordata; Mammalia; Primates; Hominidae.